UCUGCUGCUCCUGCAGGCAGCUUGCAACAGCGAGGUUUUUUUCCCCAUGCGGUGCAUCUGAGAGACAGCUGACAUCCUUGGCGAGAGCUCUGCUUUCUGCAGCAUCCCCCUCCCUGUACAUAAAAAGACACAAGGAGCAGUGGCAGGGCUGACAGAAAGCCAAGGUGCAAAAUGUUGGAGAGAAUGUUCUGAUAUUCAAAGCUGGAAAGGAUUCUGUUUCCCAGGCUUACAUUCUCCAUCCUAGCCACCAGCAAACAGAACUAUUGCUGCAAAACCUCAUGUCAUGAAGCACAGUGCUAGUCUGGGGUCUGACGGAAUUGCAAGGAUUCAAAGAGGGGGCGGGGGACAUCUUUUCCAGCAUCAACAGGCAUCACUAUGCCCCAGUGACUCAGCUCUCAACAAGAAAACAAUAUUUCCGCAGCACAGCUGGAGAACAAGGUACAUCUCUGAGGGAUUCCUUGUACUCUGCCACCAAACAGCACCACAUCACAACUUCCUCCUUGCUUGUGACAGACUCUCAUCUGGAAUACAUGUAUCAAUCUUUGGGAAUUAACAACUGAUUAUCAUUCUUUGUGGACCGGAAAGACUUUUCAUUCCCUAGUGAAAAGCAACAAAUUAGCAAAGAGAGGUCUCCUGAAACACAGUUGCUUCUAAAGUCUAAUUCUACGUGCACAGUCAAUCCUAUGCAUAUACCCCAAAGAUAUUGGGUCAGACAGACUGAGGGGUUGCUUGUUCACACAGUCAGUUUUGUCUCCACGCAAAGGCUCCCUGAGGCUCCCUGGGGAUGCAUUCACACACAGCAAAUCUCCCAUACGGCCUGGAAUCUCGACUGAUAACACUUGCACUUUUUUAGCGGCAAUUUCUGUAAUCACAGCAACACAAUUUGCAGCUACCGUGAUAACAGGAAUCAUUCCUGAGAAGUAGCAGCUGCCUCCAUUGAAAGCUCGGUUAAUAUGAAACAUUCUCUGCAUGAUGCAUCCCUGGAGAGCAUGGUGGAGAGACAAAAUUGACCGCGUUGACCUGCCUGGAGUCAGUUAUUUCAUUUCAAUACAACAGUUUCCUUUUUAACAUGUCAUGGAAAACACGGAGUUAACAGCAUUGACUCUCUCACUCUCUCUUCCCGUCUCUCUCUCUCUCUCGCACACACAUACACAGCAAUUUUGUAAUACUUUCCAAACUAAUAUUAUCAGACAGACCCUUAUGUCUCUGACCUUCUGUUCUCAAGGCAAUCCAAAACAAAUCUGAUCGCUAUAACAAAUAUUUUCAUACGUUCCUCUUCUGCAGAAUCACAGGGUUUGCAACAUUUUCUUUAAUGAACAGAGAGUGGCAAUGGUUGCUGUUUCUGUUUUUUGUUUUUAAAGCGGGAGCGAGAAUAAGGAAAGGGGGGUUGAAAUGGCCGAUCGCGUGGCUGUUAUCGCUUUGGGACAGUGGGGAAAUGUGAACUAGGAAAAAGGCUGAAAGUGAUCCAGCAAAUGUCAGUUAUCCCAGAAGAGAAGAUCCAUGGGCAAACUCACAAAUGUAUGUUAACCACUCUAUGUCUUCAAGACACUGGUUGCUCACAAGCCACAAGAUUAGAAUCAUGUUGGGGGGCGGGAAGAGACAAGGCCAUUGACCCUGUCCCUUCCGUCAUAUCCUUGUCUCCUGUUCCCACUCCACACAUUGUAGAGUGAAUGUCUCCUGCCAGGAGCCUGCCAUACAAUCACCCCCCAUUGUUCUGCCUGGACACUGAGGUCCAUUGCCGAGGGCCUUCUGGUGGUUCCCUCGCUGCGAGAAGCCAAGUUACAGGGAACCAGGAAGAGGGCCUUCUUGGUAGUGGCACCCGCCCUGUGGAAUGCCCUCCCAUCAGAUGUCAAAGAGAAGAACAACUACCAGACUUUUAGAAGACAUCUGAAGACAGCCCUGUUUAGGGAAGCUUUUAAUGUUUAAUAGACUAUUGUAUUUUAAUAUUCUGUUGGAAGCCACCCAGAGUGGCUGGGGAAACCCAGCCAGAUGGGCGGGGUAUAAAUAAUAAAUUAUUAUUAUUAUAUUAUUAUUAUUAUAAUCAGGAUUCUAAAUUGCACAGGAAGAAUACAUGUGCAGAGAAGGUAGGGUCGCCUCGCCUCAAAAAGGAUAUUGAGAAGUUUUCAGAAAAGAACAACCAAAAAAACCAAGGGGAUGG
This is a long non-coding RNA of Podarcis raffonei (Aeolian wall lizard), 2158 nucleotides long. RefSeq lists it as uncharacterized. The transcript has 5 exons. The record is from RefSeq and is a predicted model, not a curated record. NCBI's taxonomy places the organism in Eukaryota, Metazoa, Chordata, Lepidosauria, Squamata, Lacertidae.